GACGAACGCUGGCGGCGUGCCUAAUACAUGCAGGUCGAGCGAAGUUUUUCUGGUGCUUGCCCUAGAAAAACUUAGCGGCGAACGGGUGAGUAACACGUAAAGAACCUGCCUCAUAGACUGGGACAACUAUUGGAAACGAUAGCUAAUACCGGAUAACAGUAUUUCUCGCAUGAGAGAUAUUUAAAAGUUGGUUAUGCUAACACUAUGAGAUGGCUUUGCGGUGCAUUAGCUAGUUGGUGGGGUAAAGGCCCACCAAGGCGACGAUGCAUAGCCGACCUGAGAGGGUGAUCGGCCACACUGGGACUGAGACACGGCCCAGACUCCUACGGGAGGCAGCAGUAGGGAAUCUUCCGCAAUGGGCGAAAGCCUGACGGAGCAACGCCGCGUGAGUGAAGAAGGAUUUCGGUUCGUAAAGCUCUGUUGUUAGGGAAGAAUGGAUAUGUAGUAACUAUACAUGUAAGAGACGGUACCUAACCAGAAAGCCACGGCUAACUACGUG
This 499-nucleotide ribosomal RNA is filed under the name uncultured bacterium. Its description in RNAcentral is "partial 16S ribosomal RNA". It matches the Rfam family "Bacterial small subunit ribosomal RNA", at positions 28 to 507 of the family's 1533-position model. The record is from RNAcentral.